GCAAGUCGAACGAAGCGAUUUGGAAGAAGUUUUCGGAUGGAAUCCAAAUUGACUGAGUGGCGGACGGGUGAGUAACGCGUAGUAACCUGCUCACACUGGGGGACAACAGCUGGAAACGGCUGCUAAUACCGCAUAAGCGCACAGCUUCGCAUGAAGCAGUGUGAAAAACUCCGGUGGUGUGAGAUGGACCCGCGUCUGAUUAGCUAGUUGGUAAGGUAACGGCUUACCAAGGCGACGAUCAGUAGCCGACCUGAGAGGGUGACCGGCCACAUUGGGACUGAGACACGGCCCAAACUCCUACGGGAGGCAGCAGUGGGGAAUAUUGCACAAUGGGGGAAACCCUGAUGCAGCGACGCCGCGUGAGUGAAGAAGUAUUUCGGUAUGUAAAGCUCUAUCAGCAGGGAAGAAAAUGACGGUACCUGACUAAGAAGCCCCGGCUAACUACGUGCCAGCAGCCGCGGUAAUACGUAGGGGGCAAGCGUUAUCCGGAUUUACUGGGUGUAAAGGGAGCGUAGACGGCGAAGCAAGUCUGAAGUGAAGGCCCGGGGCUCAACCGCGGGACUGCUUUGGAAACUGUUUUGCUAGAGUGCUGGAGAGGUAAGUGGAAUUCCUAGUGUAGCGGUGAAAUGCGUAGAUAUUAGGAGGAACACCA
Molecule: ribosomal RNA, 652 nt
Filed under: uncultured Lachnospiraceae bacterium
Lineage: Bacteria; Bacillati; Bacillota; Clostridia; Lachnospirales; Lachnospiraceae
Description: bacterial SSU rRNA
Rfam family: Bacterial small subunit ribosomal RNA
Source: RNAcentral